UUUUUGAAAAUAAUUUAAAGUUUAAUCUGCUCAAUGAUUUAUUAAAUAGCUGCAGUAAUUUAACUGUACUAAGGUAGCAUAAUCAAUAGUUUUUUAAUUGAAAGCUAGAAUGAAGGAUUGGAUGAAAUAAUAAUUGUCUCAAAUUUAAAAAAAUUAGAAUUUUUUUUUUUAGUUAAAAAGCUAAAAUGAUAUUAAAAGACGAGAAGACCCUAUAGAUUUUUAUAAUUUAAUUAAAUAAUAAUAAUAAUAAAAUUUAUAAUUAAUUAGUUAGAUUAUUUGAUUGGGGAAAUUAUUAAAUUUAAUUAAUUUUAAUUAUUUUAAACAUUAAUUUAUGAAUAAAUGAUCUUAAUUUAUGGAUUGGAAGAAGAAAAUACCUUAGGGAUAACAGCGUAAUAUUUUUAGAAAGAUCUUAUUAAUAAAAGUGAUUGCGACCUCGAUGUUGAAUUAAAAUAAAAUUAUAAUGGAGAAGUUAUAAAUUUUUGGUCUGUUCGACCAUUAAAAUUUUACGUGAUC
This 513-nucleotide ribosomal RNA is filed under the name Ateleute sp. 8 BFS-2018. Its description in RNAcentral is "partial 16S large subunit ribosomal RNA". The stretch from base 381 to 513 matches the Rfam family "Archaeal large subunit ribosomal RNA", at positions 2542 to 2674 of the family's 2987-position model. Lineage: Eukaryota; Metazoa; Arthropoda; Insecta; Hymenoptera; Ichneumonidae. The record is from RNAcentral.